Molecule: non-coding RNA, 313 nt
Organism: Ceratotherium simum simum (southern white rhinoceros)
Lineage: Eukaryota; Metazoa; Chordata; Mammalia; Perissodactyla; Rhinocerotidae
Source: RefSeq, a predicted model, not a curated record
UGGUCUUUCAGGGCAUUUUAGAAACAUCAGGGUGGGGUAAGCCACGUCUGGAGGGGACACCGCCCUUUUGUUGCAUUCUUCUGAAGCUGAAGUUUUGCAAUCAUGUUGAGUAGCUAGUUAGUUGGGGAUCUACAUUAUAACCUUACAAAAAUCUGUUUUUGAAGCUUCUGUCUGAAGGGAGAAACUUUGAGGCAACUGUUAAACUUCUGAGGUCUCAGACCCAACCACUUGUUGGCUGGGCCAGGACAGAAGACCUGAGAGAUCCAGGUAGCCAAUUCACAAAAAGUGAACAAAUGCCUGCUGGCUGCUGCUG